This 271-nucleotide long non-coding RNA is filed under the name Phoenix dactylifera (date palm). Its description in RNAcentral is "long non-coding RNA (PDAC_LNC011571)". Lineage: Eukaryota; Viridiplantae; Streptophyta; Magnoliopsida; Arecales; Arecaceae. The record is from RNAcentral.
GGAACAGAGUAUCAUCUUUAUCCUCUUCCGAAUCAAGCCAAGCGUAUCCCGUGAUCCUCUUCUUCCGACUUCUUCUCAGCUCACGAAUCCAGCCUUGCAUCCAUAUCCCCUGUUCUGGAUCAACCUCAUCCGCAAGCCAUUCCGCAUUUCAGCAGCGUCUGAAUCAUCCGGAUUGCAGCCCAGCAAUUUUUCCAUGAUGCUGUUCGCUUCCUCUGUACAUCUCAGCAUGAUCAUCCUUAUCCCAUCUUCUUCCGCUAGUUCCCAAGCGUCA